AAUACGUGUAUUGUCAGUGAAUGGAAGUGUGCAGCUGAGCUGUUCUGGGCUGGUUCUGGUUCGGCGCCCUCUUCCACUACCUCUUCCCUUUAACCCAUAUACUCCGGUCGAGCUCCUUUCGCCACACCACCGCCGUGCCGCGCCCAACGUCAACUCUGGUGCUCGCCCCACAAGCAGGGACAAAGCCAGCCAGGAAGACAACAACGGCACUCUAGCUAGGCAUCCAGCCUGCAGAUUAAAUAAAUAUGGAGGGUUGUCACUGCAUCGUCGAGUCGUUCCAGCUAACCAACGAACUCCUUAUUAAGUACCAGUACAUCUCAGACUUCUUCAUAGCCCUCGCCUACUUCUCCAUCCCACUCGAGCUGAUCUACUUCGCCAAGAAGUCGUCAUCCUUCCCCUACAGAUGGGUGCUCAUCCAGUUCAGCGCCUUCAUAGUCCUCUGCGGGACCACUCACCUCAUAAACCUCUGGACCUUCACCAUGCACACCAAGACCGUCGACAUCAUCAUGACGGUGGCUAAGGUCACCACGGCCGUCGUGUCCUGCGCGACCGCCCUCACACUCAUCCAUAUCAUACCUGAUUUGUUGGGUGUCAAGACGAGGGAGUUGUUCCUUAAGAAGAAGGCCGACGAGCUCGACAGGGAGAUGGGCCUCGUACGAACGCAGGAGGAGACGGGGAGGCAUGUCAGGAUGCUCAUCCAUGAGAUCAGGAGCACGCUUGACAGUCACACCAUCCUCAAGACUACCCUGGUUGGGCUCGGGAGGACGUUGGGUCUGGAAGAAUGUGCUUUGUGGAUGCCGUCGAGGAGCGGUUCGAGCCUUGAGCUAACUCAUACCCUGCGCCACCCGACCCCCGCGGGCUCAUCUGUGCAGAUUAAUCUCCCUGUUGUCAACCAAGUCUUCAGUACCAACCGGGCGAUCAUAGUGCCACAUACUUCUCCUUUGGCGAGGAUCCGCACUGUUCAAGGGCGGCAUGUUCCACUCGAUGUGGCUGCCGUAAGAAUCCCGCUGCUGCAUCUUUCAAACUUUCAGCCCGAGCUUUCGGCGAAAAGCUACGGAAUUAUGGUUUUGAUACUCCCAUCUGAUAGUGCAAGGAAAUGGCUUGCUCAUGAACUCGAGCUCAUCGAGGUCAUCGCCGAUCAGGUAGCUGUUGCCCUCUCCCAUGCGGCAAUUCUUGAAGAAUCAAUGCGAGCACGUGAUCUACUAACGGAGCAAAAUGUCGCCCUAGAUUUAGCUCUGCGAGAGGCUGAAAUGGCAGACAACCGCGCUACCACCGACUCAUCUGCUUCUGCAGCCAAGGUGCACAACGCCGACCCAUGAUCGACGCGUCUUCCCCAACUUCGCCCGACACCGCUGUUGCUCUUCUACCCACCCAAUGCAAACCGAGAUGGAAAACAAGGCUUCUCAACCUACAGAAGAUGGUCAGGAAUCGAGUAAUACAACUGAGAUGGCAACCAAGGCUGUAGCUCAAGUGCUUGCGAAGCACACUAAGAAGCCGAGGUUUCUUCAGAAUGUGGGGAUCCAGCACGUCCAUGCGACAUCCAAUGCUAUGAACCGUGAAGCAGAAUUGGCAGCUGAGAAGAGGAAUGUUGAGCUUCAGGCGCGUGUUGACACCUUGACUAACAAGUUGAAGGAAUCUGAAGAAGAAUGGUCCAGGCAACAUGUUGACACCUUUUGUUGUGCAAACUGCGUACUGUUGGAUCCAAACUCGUCGCAUUUUGAUGUUUGAUGGUUAGUGGAUCUGGAGAUGUAAGCUGAAUGCUAUGCUGGAUGUGUUAUGCAGAAUGAGUACUUUAGUAA
This is an RNA transcript of Hordeum vulgare subsp. vulgare (domesticated barley), 1799 nucleotides long. It is a transcript of the gene named probable ethylene response sensor 1, with no coding region annotated. NCBI's taxonomy places the organism in Eukaryota, Viridiplantae, Streptophyta, Magnoliopsida, Poales, Poaceae. The transcript is spliced from 4 exons. The record is from RefSeq and is a predicted model, not a curated record.